This 2085-nucleotide ribosomal RNA is filed under the name metagenome. RNAcentral describes it as "bacterial LSU rRNA". It matches the Rfam family "Bacterial large subunit ribosomal RNA", at positions 831 to 2925 of the family's 2925-position model. The record is from RNAcentral.
AAUCGAACUCGGAUAUAGCUGGUUCUCCCCGAAAUAGGUUUAGGCCUAGCCUUGAUGUGAGUUGCUUGGAGGUAGAGCACUGAAUGUGUAAUGGCCCCACCUAGGGGUACUGCAUGCAAUCAAACUCCGAAUGCCAAGUGGAUACCAUCAGGAGUCAGUGUAUGGGUGAUAACGUCCAUACGCGAAAGGAAAAGAAUCCAGAUCGCCAGCUAAGGUCCCAAAAUUUGUGUUAAGUGGGAAAGGAUGUAGAGUUGUCAAAACAGCUAGGAGGUUGGCUUAGAAGCAGCCACCCUUUAAAGAGUGCGUAAUAGCUCACUAGUCGAGUGAUCCUGCGCCGAAAAUGUACCGGGGCUAAACGUAUUACCGAAACUGUGGAUUUAUACUUGUAUAAAUGGUAGGGGAGCGUUCUAAGGGCGCUGAAGGUAGAUCGUGAGGACUACUGGAGCGCUUAGAAGUGAGAAUGCCGGUGUGAGUAACGUAAGGAAGGUGAGAAUCCUUCCCACCGAUUGACCAAGGUUUCCAGGGUAAAGUUCGUCUUCCCUGGGUUAGUCAGGACCUAAGGCGAGGCUGAAAAGCGUAGUCGAUGGACAACAGGUUUAUAUUCCUGUACCACCUAUAUGACUGAUGGAGUGACGAAGGAGGCUAACAGUAGCUGGUUAUUGGAUUCCAGUCUAAGCGCAAAGGUUAGUAUGUAGGCAAAUCCGCAAUACUAUAAAGACUGAAGCGUGAUGGCGAAGCGGCGUCUACGGACAAAGCGAAGUAUUGUGACGCCAAACUUCCAAGAAAAACUUCUAGGGCUAAUUGUAUAGGUGCCUGUACCGGAAACCGACACAGGUGGUCAAGGAGAGUAUCCUAAGGUGAGCGAGAGAACUAUGGUUAAGGAACUCGGCAAAAUGACCCCGUAACUUAGGGAGAAGGGGUGGUCUAGAAAUAGACUCGCAGUGAAUAGGCCCAGGCAACUGUUUACCAAAAACACAGGUCUCUGCAAACACGUAAGUGGAAGUAUAGGGGCUGACGCCUGCCCAGUGCUGGAAGGUUAAAGUAAGAGGUAAGUAUGACGCAAGUCGAUAAUACGAAGCUUCGAACUGAAGCCCCAGUGAACGGCGGCCGUAACUAUAACGGUCCUAAGGUAGCGAAAUUCCUUGUCAGGUAAGUUCUGACCCGCACGAAAGGCGUAAUGAUCUGGGUACUGUCUCAACCAUAGACUCGGUGAAAUCUUAAUACCUGUGAAAAUGCAGGUUACCCGCGACAGGACGGAGAGACCCCGUGGAGCUUUACUGUAGCUUGAUAUUGGGAUUAGGUAAAUUAUGUAGAGCAUAGGUGGGAGACUAUGAAGAUAAGGCGCCAGCUUUAUUAGAGUCACCAUUGGAAUACCACCCUUAGUUUACCCGAUUUCUAACCUAGGGCCAUGAUCUGGUUCAGGGACAGUGUCUGGUGGGCAGUUUGACUGGGGCGGUCGCCUCCUAAAAAGUAACGGAGGCGUUCAAAGGUUCCCUCAGAAUGGUUGGAAAUCAUUCAAAGAGCGUAAAGGUAUAUAGGGAGCUUGACUGCGAGACCAACAAGUCGAGCAGGUGCGAAAGCAGGACUUAGUGAUCAGGCGGUAGAGAAUGGAAUUGCCGUCGCUUAACGGAUAAAAGUUACCCCGGGGAUAACAGGCUGAUACCACCCAAUAGUUCACAUAGACGGUGGUGUUUGGCACCUCGAUGUCGGCUCGUCACAUCCUGGAGGUGAAGUCGCUUCCAAGGGUUGGGCUGUUCGCCCAUUAAAGUGGCACGCGAGCUGGGUUCAGAACGUCGUGAGACAGUUCGGUCUCUAUCUGUUGUGGGCGCAGGAAAUUUGCGGAGAUCCGACACUAGUACGAGAGGACCGUGUUGGACAGACCCCUGGUGCAUCGGUUGUUCCGCCAGGAGCACAGCCGAGUAGCUAAGUCUGGAAGGGAUAAGCGCUGAAAGCAUCUAAGUGCGAAGCCCACUCCAAGAUAAGAUUUCCAUAUAGGGACGUCAAAGACGAUGACGUGGAUAGGCCGCAGGUGUACAGGCAGCAAUGUCAUAGCCGAGCGGUACUAAUAGCCCGAAACUUUCGGAA